CAGCUGCUAAUACCGGAUAUGAACCUCCUCGGCAUCGUAGAGGUUGGAAAGCUCCGGCGGUCUGGGAUGGACUCGCGGCCUAUCAGCUGUUGUGGGGUAAUGGCUACCAAGGCGACACGGGUAGCCGGCCUGAGAGGGUGAUCGGCCACACUGGGACUGAGACAGGCCCAGACUCCUACGGGAGGCAGCAGUGGGGAAUAUUGCACAAUGGGCGCAAGCCUGAUGCAGCGACGCCGCGUGGGGGAUGACGGUCUUCGGAUUGUAAACCCCUUUCAGUAGGGACGAAGCGCAAGUGACGGUACCUGCAGAAGAAGCACCGGCCAACUACGUGC
RNAcentral lists this ribosomal RNA (332 nucleotides) under uncultured Dietzia sp. RNAcentral's name for it is "bacterial SSU rRNA". It matches the Rfam family "Bacterial small subunit ribosomal RNA", at positions 157 to 508 of the family's 1533-position model. Lineage: Bacteria; Bacillati; Actinomycetota; Actinomycetes; Mycobacteriales; Dietziaceae. The record is from RNAcentral.